RNAcentral lists this unclassified non-coding RNA (257 nucleotides) under uncultured Hypocreales. RNAcentral describes it as "sequence contains 5.8S rRNA gene, ITS2, 28S rRNA gene". The stretch from base 1 to 52 matches the Rfam family "5.8S ribosomal RNA", at positions 103 to 154 of the family's 154-position model. Lineage: Eukaryota; Fungi; Ascomycota; Sordariomycetes; Hypocreales. The record is from RNAcentral.
AACGCACAUUGCGCCCGCCAGUAUUCUGGCGGGCAUGCCUGUUCGAGCGUCAUUUCAACCCUCAAGCCCUCGGGUUUGGUGUUGGGGAUCGGCGAGUCUUAGGACGAGCCGGCCCCGAAAUCUAGUGGCGGUCUCGCUGCAGCCUCCAUUGCGUAGUAGCUAACACCUCGCAACUGGAACGCGGCGCGGCCAAGCCGUUAAACCCCCAACUUCUGAAUGUUGACCUCGGAUCAGGUAGGAAUACCCGCUGAACUUAA